UCUUUUUUGGCGGAAUAGGUAAACGCUUGAGUUUUAAAAACUCAUCUCUUUAGAGUUUAGGGUUCGAAUCCCUAAAAAAGAA
This 82-nucleotide transfer RNA is filed under the name Phaeocystis globosa. RNAcentral describes it as "tRNA-Leu". It matches the Rfam family "tRNA". From Rfam's summary of the family: Transfer RNA (tRNA) molecules are approximately 80 nucleotides in length. Their secondary structure includes four short double-helical elements and three loops (D, anti-codon, and T loops). The record is from RNAcentral. Lineage: Eukaryota; Haptophyta; Phaeocystales; Phaeocystaceae.